Molecule: long non-coding RNA, 3338 nt
Filed under: Nicotiana tabacum (common tobacco)
Lineage: Eukaryota; Viridiplantae; Streptophyta; Magnoliopsida; Solanales; Solanaceae
Description: long non-coding RNA (NTAB_LNC005650)
Source: RNAcentral
AAAUUUGCUCUUGAGUCUUUCUGGGAUGGAAAGAGCAGCGCUGAGGACUUGAAGAAGGUGUCUGCUGACCUCAGGUCAUCCAUCUGGAAACAGAUGGCUGAUGCUGGUAUUAAGUACAUUCCCAGCAACACCUUCUCUUACUAUGAUCAAGUGCUCGACACAACCGCAAUGCUUGGUGCCGUCCCUUCUAGGUACAACUGGACCAGUGGUGAGAUCGGGUUCGGCACUUACUUCUCCAUGGCCAGAGGAAAUGCCUCCGUCCCUGCUAUGGAGAUGACAAAGUGGUUUGACACCAACUAGUAAGUGACACAUCAACUUUUUCUUUUCAUCGGAUAUAUGAUUAUCUUGUCCGUGUGCUGAUUUAUGGUUUUUCAAUGUUUGAUCCAGCCACUUCAUUGUCCCUGAGUUGGGACCUGAUGUUAACUUUUCUUAUGCUUCUCACAAGGCAGUAGAUGAGUACAAAGAGGCGAAGGGGGUAUGUGAUUCUUUUCUUAUGUAUACUUUUCAUUUUACAAUACAUGUCUGAUUCUUGAACUAUUGGAAGGGGAAUAUAGUUAAUGGAUGUGAUCAUUCAUCAUCAUGGACUUCACUUUUUGCUUUAUGUGAUUUUUGAAGAGAGCAGAUACAAGCUCGGAUUUGUGGUCUAGAAAGACGAUUGUUCAUUUCUUUUGUGUUUUCAUUUUGUUUUGAUGCAUAUUUAUGUACAGCAUUUACGUUGUCCUGUUAAAUCUAUGCUUAUGCAUGGAAAUAAAAGAUUAGAUGAUUGAUUUAUUGAUCUUGAUCUUGUUACUCACGCAGCUUGGAGUAGAUACUGUUCCAGUACUUGUUGGUCCAGUUUCAUACUUGUUGCUUUCCAAACCUGCUAAGGGUGUUGAGAAAUCUUUCCCCCUGUUGUCACUUCUGGACAAAAUCCUUCCAAUUUACAAGUAAGUUUUUUUUUUCACGACCCGCUAUAUCUGAAUGGACAUACUCUAACUUAAAAUUGUCAAUGCAGGGAAGUUAUUGCGGAGUUGAAGGCAGCUGGCGCUUCUUGGAUUCAGCUUGACGAACCUACGCUUGUGUUGGAUCUAGAGGCUCACAAAUUGGAAGCAUUCACCAAGGCCUAUGCUGACCUAGAGUCAUCUCUAUCUGGCCUUAAUGUUAUCGUUGAGACCUACUUUGCUGACGUUCCUGCUGAGGCAUUCAAAACCCUCACUGCUUUGAAAGGAGUUACCGGAUUUGGCUUUGACUUGGUCCGUGGAACUCAGACCCUCGAUUUAAUCAAGGGUGGUUUCCCUUCCGGCAAGUACUUGUUUGCUGGAGUUGUUGACGGAAGGAACAUUUGGGCUAAUGAUCUUGCUGCAUCUCUUAACCUCCUGCAAUCUCUUGAGGGCAUUGUAGGAAAAGGUAAUGUAUUUCCUAUCUCAUCACUUGAUAGUUGGUAGUGAUUUUGUUGCAGGAAAUGAUCAAUUUUUUCUUUCAAUUAUGCAGACAAGCUUGUUGUCUCUACAUCUUGCUCCCUACUCCACACUGCUGUUGAUCUAGUCAAUGAGCCAAAGCUAGACGAUGAAAUCAAAUCAUGGCUCGCAUUUGCUGCCCAAAAGGUUGUUGAAGUAAAUGCUUUAGCCAAGGCAUUGGCUGGUGCCAAGGAUGAGGUAUAGUUCGUUCUUAACUUAAAGGUCUUUAAAAAAUCACUUCGGGAAAUGAGUCUUUUUUACUUAAUACUCUCGACAAAGUUUUUUGCAUAUCACGGCUAAAUGUGUUCAUUGUACUUUCAGGCAUUUUUCUCUGCCAAUGCUGCUGCUCAAGCUUCCAGAAAGUCCUCCCCAAGAGUGACAAAUGAAGCUGUUCAAAAGGCUGUAAGUGUUGAACUGAAGGAUCGUCUUCUCUUUCUAAUGACUUGUAUCAUAUUGUACUUACUACUUUUUACUCUUGUGAUAUCUCAGUCCGCUGCUCUUCAAGGAUCUGACCACCACCGUGCUACAAAUGUUAGUGCUAGACUUGAUGCCCAACAAAAGAAACUUAACCUACCAAUUCUGCCUACAACCACCAUUGGAUCCUUCCCUCAGACAGUGGAGCUUAGAAGAGUUCGUCGUGAAUACAAGGCCAAGAAGUCAGUGUUAUACUUGCUUUCUGCUUCUUACUGUUGGUGCUGUUGAACAUCUCAUCUCAUAAUUCAUUUAUUUAUAGGAUCUCCGAGGAGGAAUAUGUUAAAGCCAUCAAGGAGGAAAUCAAGAAGGUUGUCGAUCUCCAAGAAGAGCUUGACAUUGAUGUCUUGGUUCACGGAGAGCCUGAGGUAGGACAAUUACCUACUUAACUUACAUGCAUAUGCAUGUAUUAGCAUCUUUUCUGUCCAUAUACACACGCUCGCAUGCGUAAAUAUGGAUUGGUAAGUUUGAAUGCUUGAUGUAUGCAGAGGAACGAUAUGGUUGAGUACUUUGGAGAGCAGCUAUCUGGUUUUGCCUUCACUGCUAAUGGAUGGGUUCAAUCGUAUGGAUCUCGAUGUGUGAAGCCACCUAUCAUCUAUGGUGAUGUGAGCCGCCCAAAGCCAAUGACUGUCUUCUGGUCCUCAGCUGCUCAGAAUAUGACCAAGAGGCCAAUGAAGGGAAUGCUUACCGGCCCUGUCACCAUUCUCAACUGGUCUUUUGUCAGAAAUGACCAGCCAAGGUAACUUCAAUUUAUACCCUCCUCCUAAUUUGAGUUUUAUACCUUCUCCGAUUAUGUUUAUAAUGUUUACCAUCAUUGCUUUUUCUAGGUUUGAGACCUGCUACCAGAUUGCAUUGGCCAUUAAGGAUGAAGUGGAGGAUUUGGAGAAGGCAGGAAUCACUGUGAUCCAAAUCGAUGAAGCUGCUUUGAGAGAAGGCUUGCCUCUGAGGAAGUCUGAACACGCAUUCUACUUGAAUUGGGCUGUCCACUCCUUCAGAAUCACCAACGUCGGCAUCCAGGACACUACACAGGUUCUAUUCUGAUCUUGUUGUUUUAACUCCGGAACUUCGUUUAAUCCGAUACCUGCUUGUUAAUGAGCUUAUCUUUUGUGGCUUGCAGAUCCACACCCACAUGUGCUACUCCAACUUCAACGACAUUAUCCACUCCAUCAUCGACAUGGAUGCUGAUGUGAUCACCAUCGAGAACUCACGUUCUGAUGAGAAACUCCUCUCAGUUUUCAGGGAGGGAGUGAAGUACGGAGCUGGCAUUGGUCCCGGUGUCUAUGACAUCCACUCUCCAAGAAUACCAUCCACAGAGGAGAUAGCCGAUAGAGUUAACAAGAUGCUUGCAGUUCUUGACACCAACAUCUUGUGGGUCAACCCCGACUGUGGUCUCAAGACUCGCAAGUAUACCGAGGUGAAACCAGCCCUGCA